CAGGUUGCUUGAUGUAUUCAAUACUAGUUCUAGUUUAUUACCGCUGGAUGUCAAAACUUGCAGCAUUUGGAGAGAAGGGACAGCGGCAGUGAACGCAUCGAAUGUCAUUUAUUCCAAUUACGAUGACUCUCGCCAAGACUAUCCCUGCAUUCGUAUGACUCGAAGCUGGUCCCCCCAGAAUCUGCUCAGGGAGGACGACUUUCACUCUUCUCAUUUAGUCGCCUUCGUGUUACAAGAUGAGUUGCUCUCACUCCAAGGAAUGACCCUCCCCAACCCCACACUCUGGUUUCAGUCGGACUCUCGAUGAAUGGCAGCUUUUUUUUUUCUUUUUCUUUUUUUUUAUGACAAUGGGCUCUGGGAAUAGACAGGCGCUACCAGAUGAGGCUUGACUAGGACGCGGUUUUAGAGCAUACGAAGAGAUACAUGUACAGUUCAUACAUUACGGCGUACAAGACCUGUCCAACUCUAACUCAUCGGACAGCAAGCCCUGGAUACAAUCCCUACGCAAGAAAACGACACGGAAAAAAACCCUGGCGUCUGGGUUGAGGUUUCUCUCAUUUACGCCGCAAUUCUAGUAAUCGCGACGAGCCUCGUACAUGAACUGUUGAAAGAACUAUACCGUUUAUAUACUCGCACAUUGCAUAAGAAAUUUCUGAACUGGACUUCUCAAUAAUUCGUAGGAUAAACCGAAACGCACCCACCUAGCGGACAGGUAUGCUCCCGCUCUCUGAUGCUGGGUUUAGAUAUUUCGCAAUAGGGCGUUUGUCUUCCUCCGUUUCCUGUUCUUGCUCUCCUCCCAUUCCCAUUUUCUCAGAUGAUUUUGCCGAAGCCGUCACCGAUGAAUCCCAAUAAUGUGUGUGCUUUCUUACAUGUGUGAUCUUACCGCAAUGAUUUGAUAACGACGUGUCCAGGCUCACAGAACUCGGAAUAUCCGUACCAGCAUGGGGUUGUUCAUUACUACGGACUCUUCUACAGUUUGUCCUGUAUGGCUUUUCUUUUGUGAAUUGCAUCCCAGAGCCAAAACAGCUUUCUAAAAAUGUUUGUAACUGGU
This 1051-nucleotide small RNA is filed under the name Histoplasma capsulatum. RNAcentral describes it as "hypothetical RNA". Lineage: Eukaryota; Fungi; Ascomycota; Eurotiomycetes; Onygenales; Ajellomycetaceae. The record is from RNAcentral. RNAcentral also lists the same sequence under 1 other name.